UUCCGUGUUUUAGAUGGAAAAAUUAGAGGAUUUCUCUGCAUCUUACUCCGCAUUCAUCUCGACACGCACAACUGAAUUCUGGUGCAGCCAUUAAUAUCCAUGGUACGACGCAUACUGCUCGAACAUCUCACAAGCUCCUGCAAAAUAAGAGACAGCCCCAGUUUGUCUAUCCACUCACAAGCUCCUAGAGUUUGCCGAGCGAUUAAGCAAGCCCGCCAAAGAUAUCUUUUGAAAACCAUGUUAUGCCUAGGGAUUCCAAAGACUCUCAUGGCGUAGAAACUUCCAAUGGUAAAUCAAGCCAAUUAAAUGGAAGAGAAGUUAUACGAGGAAACCUUGCAGAAACUUUGAUUGCCAGGGCUGGGAAUGCAGAGCAGGGUAGGUCUCCACCAGAUAAUGCUGUUGAUUGGGUUGAGGGUCCAAUUCAAGUUUCAGAUGAGAAAACCUCCUAUAAAUCUUGCUGCAUCAAUGGAUGUGUCCAUGAACUCCUGGAUUAUGUUCUUAUUCGCUUUGACAAUGACAAAUUAAUUCCUUUAAAACUUUGGGGGUGUUUG
This 551-nucleotide long non-coding RNA is filed under the name Olea europaea subsp. europaea. The record is from RNAcentral. Lineage: Eukaryota; Viridiplantae; Streptophyta; Magnoliopsida; Lamiales; Oleaceae.